RNAcentral lists this long non-coding RNA (4756 nucleotides) under Solanum tuberosum (potato). RNAcentral describes it as "long non-coding RNA (STUB_LNC002083)". Lineage: Eukaryota; Viridiplantae; Streptophyta; Magnoliopsida; Solanales; Solanaceae. The record is from RNAcentral.
UUGCUUUCUUCAUGACUUAAGUUGAAAUUUUUUUGAAAGUAAAGCAAUGGGUGAUUUUAAGUCAUGUCCUCAAAGUUUAACAUAACAAUGUUAAUAUUAAUUAAACAAUGGUAAAAAUGUAAGCCAGUAAUUUCAAUGUUUUUCUUUUAAUGAUCUUGACAAAUCUUAAAAGAGUAGCACAUGUGUACAUCUUACUCACAGACUUCUUCCCUUUCUCAAGACGCUGAAUUUGAUGUCUUAAUGGAUACAGUAUAGCAUAAAACAGAGGAGUUCUCUUUUUAUAAUUUAGAUUCUUUCCUCUGUGUGAAUACUUACAGCUGAAGAGUCCGGAAAGUUCACAAAAAAUUAAAAUUAAAUUAACCUUAAUGUAUUUAAGUUCAUGCUGCAUACUAUUAUUGUUUUCUGAUGUUAACACCCACACCAACACACACCCACCCACACACACUUGGAAAUUUUAGAAAUUUUGGUUAAAUUUGUAUCUAAGUUCAAUGAGCUCAUUGUCGAAAUGGAUAGCCGGCAAUACUUCUGUUGUUCCCUAUUUAUUUAUUUUCGAAUUGGAUUUCUGGAUUCGCUAUUGCAUCUGUUGUUCCCUAAAUUCUUUCAGUUCAAUGUCUAAAUUGAUUGAUCAAGGAAGCAAAAUCUCUUGAGAUAGAGCACUAGCUUCAGUACUCUAUACUUCUGUUCUUAUAUGGUGUAGAUUCUCUACUUUUUGGUAUACCUUUAGUAUAUGGGAGAUUUUCACGUUACUAAAAUUACUUACCUUCUCAAAAUAUAUUAUUAUAUGGACUUCUUUGUUUAUCAGGUUAUGAGGAUCUGGUUCAGCUGAGAGAGAAUGAAAACUCAGAAAGGAAUGAGACUGCAGCUAUACUUGGUGGUGGAAAAGGUAAGACGUGUUGUAACUUUUUUAUUUUUAUGUUGGUGGCGGGAAAGAAGAUAAGAUUGUGCUUGGUGAUUUUUGGAGCAUACUUUUAAUAUUCAGAUCACAUGAUGACCAAAGCAAAAUACCAGAAGUCUUGAGUGGAGGAUAAGGUCCAGAUCCAUCGGCAAAUUUUCCACCAACUUUGGCAGGGAAAUGAGUAGCUUUUGAGCUAACUUUCUUGAUCUUUAUUAAGGUACUUUCUUUUGACACAAAAACAAGAGCCAAAAAGAAAAGUUACUAAUAGAAUAUUAUUAUUAUUUUUAUUUUAUUUUUUCUAUUUCAAAAAAAAUAUUCUAUUAGUAACUUUUCUUUUUGGCUCUCGUUUUUGUGUCAAAAGAAAGUACCUUAAUAAAGAUCAAGAAAGUUAGCUCAAAAGCUACUCAUUUCCCUGCCAAAGUUGGUGGAAAAUUUGCCGAUGGAUCUGGACCUUAUCCUCCACUCAAGACUUCUGGUAUUUUGCUUUGGCCAUCAUGUGAUCUGAUGUUUGUUCUUUUUUUCUUUUUUUUUGCUUUCUUCAUGACUUAAGUUGAAAUUCUUUUGAAAGUAAAGCAAUGGGGGAUUUUAAGUCACAUCCUCAAAGUUUAACAUAACAAUGUUAAUAUUAAUUAAACAAUGGUAAAAAUGUAAGCCAGUAGUAUAAAACGUUUUUCUUUUAAUUAUCUUGACAAAUCUUAAACGAGUAGCACUUUUGUACAUCUUAAUCACAAACUUCUUCCCUUUUCUCAAGACGCUGAAUUUGAUGUCUUAACGGAUACACUCUAGCAUAAAACAGAGGAGUUCUCUUUUUAUAAUUCAGAUUCUUUCCUCUGGGUGAAUAAUUGCAGCUGAAAGUCCGGAAAGCUGCUAAUGACCCACAAAAAAUUAAAAUUAAAAUAACCUUAAUCUAUUUAAGUUCAUUCUGCAUACUAUUGUUGUUUUCUGAUGUUAACACCCACACACAAACACUUAGAAAUUUUAGAAAAUUUGGUUAAAUUUGUAAAUCAAUGAGCUCACUGUCAAAAUGGAUAGGCGGCAAUACUUCUGUUGUUCCCUAAUUUUUUUUAAUUUUUUUUGUGUAUUCAAUUUCUGGAUUCUCUCUUGCAUCUGUUGCUCCCUAAAUUCUUUCAAUUCAAUGUCUAAAUUGAUUGAUCAAGGCAGAAAAAUCUCUUGAGAUAGAGUAAUUAGCUUCAGUACUCUGUACUUCUGUUCUUAUAUGGUGUAGAUUCUCUACUUUUUGCUAUACCUCUUGUAUAUGGGAGAUUUUCACGUUACUAAAAUUAUUUACCUCAUCAAAUAUAUUAUUAUAUGUACUUCUUUGUUUAUCAGGUUAUGAGGAUCUGGUUCAGCUGAGAGAGAAAGAAAACUCAGAAAGGAAUGAGACUGCAGCUACACUUGCUGGUGGAAAAGGUAAGACUUGUUGUAACUUUUUUAUUUUUGAUGUUGGUGGCGGGGAAAGAAGGUAAGAUUGUAUUUGUUGGUUUUAGGAUUAUAAUUUUAAUAUUCUAUUAGUAACUUUUCUUUUUGGCUCUCGUUUUUGUGUCAAAAGAAAGUAACUUAAUAAAGAUCAAGAAAGUUAGCGCAGAAGCUACUCAUUUCCCUGCCAAAGUUGGUGGAAAUUUGCCGAUGGAUCUGGACCUUAUCCUCCACUCAAGACUUCUGGUAAUUUGCUUUGGUCAUCAUGUGAUCUGAUGUUUGUUCUUUUUUUCUUUUUCUUUUUUUUGCUUUCUUCAUGACUUAAGUUGAAAUUCUUUUGAAAGUAAAGCAAAGGAGGAUUUUAAGUCACGUCCUCAAAGUUUAACAUAACAAUGUUAAUAUUGAUUAAACAAUGGUAAAAAUGUAAGCCAGUAGUUUAAAACGUUUUUCGUUUAAUGAUCUUGACAAAUCUUAAAAGAGUAGCACUUAUGUACAUCUUACUCACAGGCUUCUUCCCUUUUCUCAAGACGCUGAAUUUGAUGUCUUACUGGAUACAUUCUGGCAUAAAACAGAGGUGUUCUCUGUUUAUAAUUCAGAUUCUUUCCUCUGUGUGAAUACUUGCAGCUGAAGAGUCCGGAAAGCUGCUAUUGACCCACAAAAUAUUAAAAUUAAAAUAACCUUAAUGUAUUUAAGUUCAUGCUGCAUAUUAUUAUUGUUUUCUGAUGUUAACACCCACACCAACACACACACACACUUAGAAAUUUUAGAAAAUUUGGUUAAAUUUGUAUUCAAGUCCAAUGAGCUUACUGUCGAAAUAGAUAGGUGCCAAUACUUCUGUUGUUCCCUUUUUUUUUUUUUCUAAUUCGAUUUCUGGAUUUGCUCUUGCAUCUGUUGUUCCCUAGUUUUUUUCAGUUCAAUGUCUAAAUUGCUUGAUCAAGGCAGCAAAAUCUCUUGAGAUAGAGUAAUUAGCUUCAGUACUCUAUAGUUUUGUUCUUAUAUGGCGUAGAUUCUCUACUCUUUUGUAUACCUCUUGUAUAUGGGAGAUUUUCACUUUACUAAAAUCAUUUACCUUAUCAAAAUAUAUUAUUAUAUGUACUUCUUUGUUUAUCAGGUCAUGAGGAUCUGGUUCAGCUGAGAGAGAAAGAAAACUCGGAAAGGAAUGAGACUGCAGCUACACUUGGUGGUGGAAAAGGUAAGACUUGUUGUAACUUUUUUAUUUUUGAUAUUGGUGGCGGGGAAAGAAGAUAAGAUUGUAUUUCUUUGUUUUAGGAUUAUACUUCUAAUAUUCUAUCAGUAACUUUUCUUUUUGGCUCUUGUUUUUGUGUCAAAAGAAAGUAACUUAACAAAGAUCAAGAAAGUUAGCGCAGAAGCUACUCAUUUCCCUGCCAAAGUUGGUGGAAAAUUUGCCGAUGGAUCUGGACCUUAUCCUCCACUCAAGACUUCUGGUAUUUUAGGAAAAAGAAGCAAUGAUAGUAGUGUUAUUACAAAGGCUGGAUCUGAAGUUCCUGCUACACAUACAUCUUACUCACAGGCUUCUUCCCUUUUCUCAAGACGCUGAAUUUGAUGCCUUAAUGGAUACACUCUGGCAUAAAACAGAGGUGUUCUCUGUUUAUAAUUCAGAUUCUUUCCUCUGUGUGAAUACUUGCAGCUGAAGAGUCCGGAAAGCUGCUAUUGACCCACAAAAUAUUAAAAUUAAAAUAACCUUAAUGUAUUUAAGUUCAUGCUGCAUAUUAUUAUUGUUUUCUGAUGUUAACACCCACACCAACACACACACACACUUAGAAAUUUUAGAAAAUUUGGUUAAAUUUGUAUUUAAGUUCAAUGAGCUCACUGUCGAAAUGGAUAAGUGCCAAUACUUCUGUUGUUCCCUUUCUUCUUUUUUUUCUAAUUUGAUUUCUGGAUUUGCUCUUGCAUCUGUUGUUCCCUAAAUUUUUUCAAUUCAAUGUCUAAAUUGCUUGAUCAAUGCAGCAAAAUCUCUUGAGAUAGAGUAAUUAUCUUCAGUACUCUAUAGUUUUAUUCUUAUAUGGUGUAGAUUCUCUACUUUUUUGUAUACCUCUUGUAUAUGGGAGAUUUUCACUUUACUAAAAUCAUUUACCUUAUCAAAAUAUAUUAUUAUAUGUACUUCUUUGUUUAUCAGGUAAUGAGGAUCUGGUUCAGCUGAGAGAGAAUGAAAACUCAGAAAGGAAUGAGACUGCAGCUACACUUGGUGGUGGAAAAGGUAAGACUUGUUGUAACUUUUUAUUUUGAUAUUGGUGGCGGGGAAAGAAGAUAAGAUUGUAUUUCUUUGUUUUAGGAUUAUACUUCUAAUAUUCUAUUAGUAACUUUUCUUUUUGGCUCUUGUUUUUGUGUCAAAAGAAAGUAACUUAAUAAAGAUCAAGAAAGUUAGCGCAGAAGCUACUCAUUUCCCUGCCAAAGUUGGUGGAAAAUUUGCUGAUGGAUCUGGAC